Molecule: long non-coding RNA, 1737 nt
Organism: Cyanistes caeruleus (blue tit)
Lineage: Eukaryota; Metazoa; Chordata; Aves; Passeriformes; Paridae
Source: Ensembl
GGGGAUUUUGUUUCUUUUUCUUUUUCUUUUUCUUUUUUUUUUUUGGGCCAGUGAAUUUAAUAGAGUUUAUUGAUCCUGAUGUUUACAUGUAGAUAUGCAUAACACUACUUAGUCCUCUCUUGCAUUAUUACAGAAGCCUUUUCAAUUGACUCUAUAGGAUGAUUUUUCUUGUGCAAGACAAUGUGUUCACUGAGUGGGUGCAUCUGACUGGGCUGGAGCAUUGCCCUGAGUAACCCACUUAAAUCAAAUUCUGGCUGUGUGCUCUGUCUACACCAUACAACAGAGGUAGAACAGAACUGGGGAGGACACACUAAAAUCUUCACAGGCUAAGCCAGCACAUUUAGAAUGCUAAAAAUGGGACUUGCUUCUGGAGGCAAACAGAUUUCAAAAUAUGAAAAUUCUCUGAGAGAGAAUACUUCCUUUUUCCACAUGGCUCUAUUGCCAAGGCAACCUGGCCACAAAGAGUACUUCAAAGAGAUUGUAUGGUGCUGUUUAUUUGAAAUAAAAGCACAAUCAAUAAGGAUAUCUAAGCAGGAAGUGGUGAGAAUGUAUUGCUUUAUGGAAAAGCAAUUUUUGUUUUGAUACAUUGAGAAACAAAUGUAAAAGAAAAACCCUCAGGGUUGACUUAACGAAAUCUCUUAAUGUCUGUGAGAUCAUUAGACUCAAUUAAGUGUUUGACUGGCAGUUACACUUAGCCCUUAAGAGAUGAACAGAUCAUGUUAACAUACUGGACUACAAAUACGGGUGAAGUUACCUCAUAUCGCUACUGCAGAGCUUCCAGACAACAGGAAAGGAUUCAAAGACUCGUUUUACUUUAAAAAGCAUAUUCCAACAACCAGCAGAAAAAAAUGCUGAUGGAAAAUUUGUGACUUGGGGAAAAGACACCGAAUUCUGCAAAGCUUCCUGCAGGGAGCAGGGCCCAAGGGAAUAAGAUUGCUCAUCUGGUUUGUUCACUCUAGGCAGAUCAGCACAUGUGUGUCUCAUGACACUUGGUGUGAAAACUACAGCAAUGGUUUUUCCAAAGGAAAAAAAAUCUCUAAACUUGGAAGAGAAAUUACUGUGUUUUCUCCCCCUGUGAUGAGGAGACAUCCAGAUUUUGAGUUAAAAUGGCAUAGUUGGUGAGAAACUUUAUAUAAUUUUAUUUGUUUGGGAAGCUGGUUAUUCCACCAACCAAAUAAUAUCUGAAAUGUUCCUCUCUAUCCAAUGAGCUGUUCCCUGACAUGAGGAUUUUUGACAAAGUCUGUCGUAGGCUGUGUCUCCUUGACUGGUAACAAAUUAGUCCUUGUCAAACACAAGCAAGUUAAUAAUUCCAUUUCUUUGAAGUCUGUUUUAGAGAAACCACUAUGAAAUCCAGAAAAAAAACAGCAAUACAGCUGUCUGUGCCUUGAAUGAAAAUUACAUGAAUGGACUUUGUAUUUCAAGGAACCAGUCAUUGAAACUGCAAAACUUACUUUGAGAUGAAUUUUUUGUGCCAAAAGCAGAAGACUUUUUUUAAACUGAAUCUUUUGUUAUCUGUCUCAGAAAUUUCAUAGCCAUGUUAAAGAUCUUUAAAUAACCAUUGAAUACUUCUGUUCUACCAGCAAAGUAAUUUUGAAUUUGUGAUUGUCAAAGGCAUUUAGACAAUGUAGACCCACUGAUUGCCCCAUAAAGGAAUUUGUGGGGAGAGAGAUUCUCAGUUCUGAAUUUGAAAUCCUUCCAUUUAAAUCACAGCAAUAAAAAGGGAGCUCACGAGCUGCA